This 253-nucleotide ribosomal RNA is filed under the name uncultured bacterium. Its description in RNAcentral is "partial 16S ribosomal RNA". It matches the Rfam family "Bacterial small subunit ribosomal RNA", at positions 524 to 776 of the family's 1533-position model. The record is from RNAcentral.
UACGAAGGGGGCUAGCGUUGCUCGGAAUCACUGGGCGUAAAGGGCGCGUAGGCGGCCCUGUCAGUCGGGGGUGAAAUCCCACGGCCCAACCGUGGAAGUGCCUCCGAUACUGCAGGGCUCGAGGGGGGUAGGGGCAGCGGGAACUUCCGGUGGAGCGGUGAAAUGCGUUGAUAUCGGAAGGAACGCCGGCGGCGAAAGCGCGCUGCUGGACCCUCUCUGACGCUGAGGCGCGAAAGCCAGGGGAGCAAACGGG